AUGAGUAAACAUAUACAUGCCCUUCAAAACCACGCAUGGCUCAGAUGCCCGAGAUGGUUGAGCUCUGACUAAACUGCCCUCUGUGCUUGUGGGAGUGAGUGGGGAGGUGUUCAUGGGAGGUGUUGAUGAGCUUGUGCUUAUGUCUUUGUAAAUCAUUCAGCUAUUUCAGCACCACAGCAGAGACUUUCCAAUAGAAAUCAGUGUCACAGACACAGAAAGCUCUGGAUGGUAAAGUGGCAGUGAGUACGAAGAGAGAGAGAGAGGAGGAGAGACAAUACAAGGAGAGAAGUCAGUGAGUGUGAUUGCUAGACCAGCGCACAUUGGAGCGGAGAGCAGCGUUGUGGACCUGCGCUGCUGUCAGAGCUCUUUGCUUUGGAAUCUGUCAGACAGCGAAAUGAUAUAUGAUAAAGACAAGUUUACAUAAAGUAUCAACAUUUUUAACAAGUUCUACUUUUGCACAAAAGGGGAAGUAGCUGGUGUUUUCUCUCUCGUCGCUCACAGGGACUUACUUCUCCCAAUCGCACUUUCAUAUUCCAAGUGAGACGGGGACGGUUGAGAUUAUGGGGACGGUGAGCGAACUCUGUGCGUCGAGCUUCCAGGCGUUCUUGUGUCCCACAGUUUGCCCGGCUCCUCCAGCAGCUCUUUUCCAAAACCUAAUGAGCUGCUUCGCUGCCUACAGCCUACACAAGCAGCUGCUUUAUAUGACAGCAGACUGGAAUUGGACUUGAGUUGAGUGAUUUUCAACACUUUUCAAGAAUUCAUACAAAUAGCAGUUUGUAUUUGUAGCUCUUGGGUGAUUCAUCAACUCAGUAAUUGUUUUCAAUAUAUAGUCGUCAUGUUAGGAAUGGCACAAAUGUUUAAUUUAAUUUUGGAGCUUUUUGAACUCUUUUGAGCUAGCUGAAAAUUUUAAACUCGCAAGGCAAUCAGCGAAAAAUAGAUUAUAGACAUGUCCGGUUUGAAAUAUCUGGCUGUAUCAGAAAAUGUUAUUAUUUUAAUUGUUUUUUAUGUUUUUAUUUGUGCCAUUGAAAAUCAUCCCACAAAUAAACUCGACCUUCAAAUAUUUACUUCUUUGUUGAUUUGAGCACACUUUUGUUUUGGUUUUGAUACAAAAGCAAGCUACUUUAUCUUAUUGCUUCAGAAAACUAAAAUUGCACGGUUCAUAUGGACGUAUGAUAACACCAUUUUUGGAGCUUGAGACUCCCAAUGCAUCACUUUCACUAUAUUGAAAAGUCUUCAAAAGAGCGGCCAGGAUAUUAUUCAGAACUUCACCUGUUGUGUUUUACAGAAUAAAGAAACUCAUGUACUCACAGGUGAGUAAAUAAUGACAUCAUUUUCAUUUUUGGGUGAAUUAUUUGUUUAAGCCAAAUCUCUCUUUGACCUUAUGGAGCACCCCUGCCAUAUUGGCCCUAGGACCAUUGUGCAUUUUAAUAUGUGGACUUGUUGGGUUCUGGAGCUGCAGCUGUCAAAGCAGUGAGUAAUGACAUCAUAAACACAGAGGCAGCCUCUGGGCUUUCUGUUACUGUCUGACGCUUUGCUCUGCUCUGCUCCAGAUUUGGACUUUAUUGGAACAGGCCAUCAACAUACCGAGCACUGCCAUGACUGGUUCUACAGUAUGUUUGAAAUGAGGAAGAAUACCUCCUCUUACAUUUUAUAUACAGUAUAAAUGUAGCAAAAUCUUGACACAAACUAUUCAGAAUGACUGUUUUAUUAGAUAUGGGAGAUCAUCCUGUCACAGAUGUAUUACUCCUGCUGUCACCUCAGACUCCCGCGGAGGAUCAGGAGGAUUUAUUGGCAUAGUAUCACAAGUGCUGUAACUUCUUAAAUC
This 1825-nucleotide long non-coding RNA is filed under the name Carassius auratus (goldfish). Its description in RNAcentral is "lncRNA (ENSCARG00000030477.1)". The record is from RNAcentral. Lineage: Eukaryota; Metazoa; Chordata; Actinopteri; Cypriniformes; Cyprinidae.